Dama dama (fallow deer) is the source of this 556-nucleotide non-coding RNA. Lineage: Eukaryota; Metazoa; Chordata; Mammalia; Artiodactyla; Cervidae. The record is from the annotation of a RefSeq genome assembly.
CAGAGUAUGAAGAGGGGAAGGAGCGGUGUGGGGACGCUCUGCUCAGCUGUGGGGCCACAGAAGGCAGGACGCCCUGACCAUGUCCACCAUGGCCUGGUGCCCUCUUCUCCUCACCCUGGUCGCUCUCUGCACAGGAUCCUGGGCCCAGACUGUACUGACUCAGCCGUCCUCCGUGUCUGGGUCCCCGGGUCAGAGGGUCAGCAUCACCUGCUCUGGAAGCAGCAGCAACGUUGGUCGUGGUAAUAAUUAUGUGGGCUGGUACCAACAGCUCCCAGGAUCGGCCCCCAGACAGCUCAUCUAUAGUGCAACCAGUCGAGCCUCGGGGGUCCCCGACCGAUUCUCCGGCUCCAGGUCUGGGAACACAGCCACCCUGACCAUCAGUUCGCUCCAGGCUGAGGACGAGGGGGAUUAUUACUGCGGAUCUUAUGACAGUAGUAGUUAUAAUGGCACAGUGCUCCAGGCCAGGGGGGAAGUGAGACAAAAACCUGCUCUCCCCCAGGUCAUGGGCUUCCCGGGGCUGAACCAUCCUCUGCCAAAGUAGCAAAAUGUUUGGUUU